RNAcentral lists this ribosomal RNA (159 nucleotides) under Oxyspirura mansoni. RNAcentral describes it as "5.8S ribosomal RNA". It matches the Rfam family "5.8S ribosomal RNA". Rfam says of the family: 5.8S ribosomal RNA (5.8S rRNA) is a component of the large subunit of the eukaryotic ribosome. The record is from RNAcentral. Lineage: Eukaryota; Metazoa; Nematoda; Chromadorea; Rhabditida; Thelaziidae.
GUUACUCUUAACGGUGGAUCACUUGGCUCGUGGAUCGAUGAAGAACGCAGCUAGCUGCGAUAAGUAGUGCGAAUUGCAGACGCAUUGAGCACAAAAAUUUCGAAUGCACAUUGCGCCAUUGGGUUCAUUCCUGAUGGUACAUUUGAUUGAGGGUCAAAU